CCCUUAGAUGUUCUGGGCCGCACGCGUGCUACACUGAGUGGAUCAGCGGGUCAGGUUGCGCGAAAGUGUUUCCUAAUCUUGAAAUCCGCUCGUGAUGGGGAUUGACGGUUGCAAUUUUCCGUCAUGAACGAGGAAUACCUUGUAAGCGCGGGUCAUCAUCCCGCGCUGAAUACGUCCCUGCCCUUUGUACACACCGCCCGUCGCUCCUACCGAUUGAGUGGUCCGGUGAGGCUUUGGGAUCUGAGCGGAAAGAGCGUUUCGCUGUUUCUACUCGGAAAACUCAGUCGAACCUUAUCGUUUAGAGGAAGGAGAAGUCGUAACA
Molecule: ribosomal RNA, 322 nt
Filed under: uncultured eukaryote
Lineage: Eukaryota
Description: partial 18S ribosomal RNA
Rfam family: Eukaryotic small subunit ribosomal RNA
Source: RNAcentral